Molecule: small RNA, 76 nt
Filed under: Lacinutrix sp. 5H-3-7-4
Lineage: Bacteria; Pseudomonadati; Bacteroidota; Flavobacteriia; Flavobacteriales; Flavobacteriaceae
Description: Flavo-1 RNA
Rfam family: Flavo-1 RNA
Source: Rfam by way of RNAcentral
UUGUUGCGUUAGGGAUUGAUACGGCAUCCUUUUUUUUAUUUCUAAAAAAAAGAUAUAGUGGAAAGCCCGCCCUUUG